UCCUACGGGAGGCAGCAGUCGGGAAUAUUGCGCAAUGGGGGAAACCCUGACGCAGCCAUGCCGCGUGUGUGAAGAAGGCCUUAGGGUUGUAAAGCACUUUCAAUUGGGAGGAAAAGAUAAUGGUUAAUAGCCAUUAGCCCUGACGUUACCUUUAGAAGAAGCUCCGGCUAACUCCGUGCCAGCAGCCGCGGUAAU
This 195-nucleotide ribosomal RNA is filed under the name uncultured Gammaproteobacteria bacterium. Its description in RNAcentral is "partial 16S ribosomal RNA". It matches the Rfam family "Bacterial small subunit ribosomal RNA", at positions 337 to 524 of the family's 1533-position model. Lineage: Bacteria; Pseudomonadati; Pseudomonadota; Gammaproteobacteria. The record is from RNAcentral.